UACGUAGGGGGCGAGCGUUGAUCGGAAUUACUGGGCGUAAAGGGCGCGUAGGCGGCCUUCUAAGUCAGACGUGAAAUCCCCCGGCUUAACCUGGGAACUGCGUCUGAUACUGGGAGGCUUGAGUAUGGGAGAGGGAUGUAGAAUUCCAGGUGUAGCGGUGAAAUGCGUAGAUAUCUGGAGGAAUACCGGUGGCGAAGGCGGCAUCCUGGACCAUUACUGACGCUGAGGCGCGAAAGCUAGGGGAGCAAACGGG
RNAcentral lists this ribosomal RNA (253 nucleotides) under uncultured bacterium. RNAcentral's name for it is "partial 16S ribosomal RNA". It matches the Rfam family "Bacterial small subunit ribosomal RNA", at positions 524 to 776 of the family's 1533-position model. The record is from RNAcentral.